RNAcentral lists this transfer RNA (74 nucleotides) under Paracoccus saliphilus. RNAcentral's name for it is "tRNA_Ile_TAT". It matches the Rfam family "tRNA". Rfam says of the family: Transfer RNA (tRNA) molecules are approximately 80 nucleotides in length. Their secondary structure includes four short double-helical elements and three loops (D, anti-codon, and T loops). Lineage: Bacteria; Pseudomonadati; Pseudomonadota; Alphaproteobacteria; Rhodobacterales; Paracoccaceae. The record is from RNAcentral.
ACUUUCGUAGCUCAGCUGGAUAGAGCGCCGGUCUUAUAAACUGGAGGUCGCGGGUUCGAGUCCCGCCGGGAGAC